This is a long non-coding RNA of Manis javanica (Malayan pangolin), 1763 nucleotides long. RefSeq lists it as uncharacterized. The record is from RefSeq and is a predicted model, not a curated record. NCBI's taxonomy places the organism in Eukaryota, Metazoa, Chordata, Mammalia, Pholidota, Manidae.
CAAAGGGGAGUUAGACUGGCCCCUAAUCCUGAAGGAGUCCAAUGCCAGUGGAGAAGACCAACAAGGAGACAAACUACAACAUGAUGAAUUCCAGACCGGGAAAGAGCAGAUGAACCCUGUCUAGGAAAGUCUGAGGUCCAUGGCCUGUGAAGCUCCUCUCUACGUACAUUCUUUUCAACUCAUCCACCCUCCCACCUUUGACUUUGUGAUCUGGAAUGUUUGCAGAGUGGGAAUGAGAGAGAAUUCGACGAGGAGGAAAAGUUUGAAUAAAGAUUGUUUCUCAUAAAGAACUCCAGGACACACCACCCCAUGUGCGGCUUUGGUACAUGGAUGAUCGAGCUGAAGGCACUGGAGGAACAGCCAGUGUGGGGAGCCCUUCUCAGAGCCCUGUACCUACCGAAAGGCAGACCCGCCAGAAGGAGCUCACUGUAGCCCGUCCCCUCCCCAGGAUGGCACCAGCAGGGAACAAGUGGCACUAAUCCCAGGAGAGAGACGAGAAGGCAGCACCCCACCCAGACACGCUGUCCCAAGCCAGCCGCAGGGCCCUCCAGCCUCCCGCAAGUCACUUCUCUGCACUAAGUUGGUCACACACACCCUCAACCCCCUUCCCUGUGAAGACAAACGUCAGCUCGCAAACUGCAGCCCUUCACUGAACAUUCACGUUUUAUCCUGUGUUGCCCCACAAACACAGAAGAUCAAAAACAAGUACAUUCAUACAACUUGUCUGCUGCUAAUCUGCCUGUUGUCGGUUUAUUUCACAGACCAGCUACUGAACCAGGAGGGUUAAGGCACUAUUCCUGCAGGGGAAUCUCCAGGUUCAAGAAUGUCUGUGACAUCAGGUCACCUUUACUGCUGGCAUUACCUCCUUCAAAUUGCCACCAGUACUUUGUAGAUUCUCUCAAAUGUAUAGAAGGAAGGCAGGAGAGAUGGAGAGAGCCCUGGAAUAGGUGUCAGGUGGCCUAUAUGUCACCCACUCUGCAGGUUACUGGCUCUUCAACUCUGGGCAAAGCUCAUAGCCCCUCAAGGCUGCCAUUUUCUCAUUUAUGAAAACCUAGGUGGCGAGUGGGGUAGAUUUAGUCAUCUCUCAAAUUCUUUACUGCUGAAAAACUCCAAGAGCCAGUUCCUGAAACUCUGGGGGAAGCAAGAGACAUUAUCUGUUGUGUCAUCUGUGCUGUGUUCAUGUUGCAUAGCCAGUUGGAUACCUACUUGGUGGUGUUUCCCCAUCUCCUUUUACUGAAAUGAUGUGCCCUCUGAUGACUUUUUCUUCUUUUAAAUAGAUAUGAAGGAAAUAUCCAAUUUUUUUUCCCCUUGGUUUACAGCCAUGGCUUCUUGUCCUGGAGUUUUCUGAGCCUGUGAAUAAUUAUCUGCUUUAACUUAUGGAUACCCUGAAGAUUUAAAGCAUAUGGACAUAAAGGACACGGAAAGUUUACAACCCAUUCAUCCAUCCUGAAAAAGUUUUCUGCAGGAAAAAAAACAAGGAAUCCAAGAAAGAGAAUAAAAUUCAAAACAUGUGGAAGUGGCCAUCUCCUCAAAACUGUCAAGGUCAUCAAAAGCAAAGACCAAGAAACUGUUACAGCCAAGAAGAGCCUAAAGAGACAGUCCAUCGAAUGUAAUGUGGUAUUCUGAAAUAGACAACAGACAUUCAACAAAAGCUAAAGAAAUGUGAAUAAAGCACAAACUUGUCUUUGCCAUUUUACUGUGUAAAUCCAAAAUUACUCUAAAAAAAUUUUGUGAAAAAAUAGAACCAAUCUCAUAGAGUUGUU